CCUACGGGGGGCAGCAGUGGGGAAUAUUGGGCAAUGGAGGAAACUCUGACCCAGCAACGCCGCGUGAAUGAUGAAGGUCUUCGGAUUGUAAAGUUCUUUUCUAAGGGAAGAAGAAAGUGACGGUACCUUAGGAAUAAGCCUCGGCUAACUACGUGCCAGCAGCCGCGGUAAUACGUAGGAGGCGAGCGUUAUCCGGAAUGACUGGGCGUAAAGGGUGCGUAGGUGGUUUGGCAAGUUAGUAGCGUAACUCCAAGGCUCAACCCCGGAACUGCUUUGGAAACUGUGCAGCUAGAGUGCAGGAGAGGUAAGUGGAAUUCCUAGUGUAGCGGUGAAAUGCGUAGAUAUUAGGAGGAACACCAGUGGCGAAGGCGGCUUACUGGACUGUAACUGACGUUGAGGCUCGAAAGCGUGGGGAGCAAACAGGAUUAGAUACCCUAGUAGUC
RNAcentral lists this ribosomal RNA (443 nucleotides) under uncultured bacterium. RNAcentral's name for it is "partial 16S ribosomal RNA". It matches the Rfam family "Bacterial small subunit ribosomal RNA", at positions 338 to 795 of the family's 1533-position model. The record is from RNAcentral.